This is a long non-coding RNA of Spodoptera litura, 662 nucleotides long. RefSeq lists it as uncharacterized. Lineage: Eukaryota; Metazoa; Arthropoda; Insecta; Lepidoptera; Noctuidae. The record is from RefSeq and is a predicted model, not a curated record.
ACCAGACUUGUUUAAAGUAGUUUGCUGGCUGACUGCACGUACAGUCCUGUCUCGUAUCUAGGAGUGAGCGUGUGUGCUUCUUUCUAUCUUUCUUUCUUUCCUUGUAAUAAUGGCUGACACCGAUCGUAUUGUGUGCCCUAAGGAGGUCGCAGAAACCGAAACGGACGCUAUUGCUCCAGUAGAAGCUAAAGACAAGAUCUCAGGCGGAGGCAGCAAUAUUAUAGAGGAACCAGUACUAAUGAAACCAGCGUUACACUCUUUUUCAAUGAUCCAAGUUCCUCCUAACUGUCCUAAAAACAAGCAGAUGUCAAAUGACGGUGUUUGUCGCGAAGUGAUCUAAGGCAGAAUUUGUACGUAAUUAUAUGAUAAGCACAUCAGUAAUUGUAGUACUACUGCGCAUCCUUGGGUGAUUCUUGUGAGUUAAAUGUAUUGUGUAAAAGAUGCCUUAGUCUUAAAGCAUUUAUUUAUAUUAAUAACUGACGAAUAUUGCAACCUUUAGUUCAGAUAACGUUGUCACAUAAUGUUAUAACAGUAUUAUUAAGUUGAUUGUAUUUUUUUAUUUAAUUGGAUGUGUACGCAAUUUGUCUGUAUGCAUUGUGUUUUAAUAAAAGAAAAUAAGUAGUAAUGACUUCUGUAAUAAAAUAAAAUAAGAUAAAAGAAAA